GACGAACGCUGGCGGCGUGCUAAACACAUGCAAGUCGGACGGUAAGGCCCUUCGGGGUACACGAGUGGCGAACGGGGUGAGUAACACGUGGGUGAUCUGCCCUGCACUUCGGGAUAAGCCUGGGAAACUGGGUCUAAUACCGGAUAGGACCACUGCCUGCAUGGGUGGUGGUGGAAAGCUUUUGCGGUGUGGGAUGGGCCCGCGGCCUAUCAGCUUGUUGGUGGGGUGAUGGCCUACCAAGGCGACGACGGGUAGCCGGCCUGAGAGGGUGACCGGCCACACUGGGACUGAGAUACGGCCCAGACUCCUACGGGAGGCAGCAGUGGGGAAUAUUGCACAAUGGGCGCAAGCCUGAUGCAGCGACGCCGCGUGAGGGAUGACGGCCUUCGGGUUGUAAACCUCUUUCAGCACCGACGAAGCGCAAGUGACGGUAGGUGCAGAAGAAGGACCGGCCAACUACGUGCCAGCAGCCGCAGUAA
RNAcentral lists this ribosomal RNA (479 nucleotides) under uncultured bacterium. Its description in RNAcentral is "partial 16S ribosomal RNA". It matches the Rfam family "Bacterial small subunit ribosomal RNA", at positions 28 to 523 of the family's 1533-position model. The record is from RNAcentral.